RNAcentral lists this ribosomal RNA (259 nucleotides) under uncultured bacterium. Its description in RNAcentral is "partial 16S ribosomal RNA". It matches the Rfam family "Bacterial small subunit ribosomal RNA", at positions 96 to 354 of the family's 1533-position model. The record is from RNAcentral.
UGGCGGACGGGUGAGUAACGCGUGGACAACCUACCCCGCACUGGGGGACAACAGCCGGAAACGGCUGCUAAUACCGCAUAUGCGCACAGCCCCACAUGGGGCGGUGCGGAAAGCCUUGUGCGGUGCGGGAUGGGUCCGCGUCUGAUUAGCUGGUUGGCGGGGUAACGGCCCACCAAGGCGACGAUCAGUAGCCGGCCUGAGAGGGUGGACGGCCACAUUGGGACUGAGACACGGCCCAGACUCCUACGGGAGGCAGCAG